UACGAAGGGGGCUAGCGUUGCUCGGAAUCACUGGGCGUAAAGCGCACGUAGGCGGGUCUUUAAGUCAGGGGUGAAAUCCUGGAGCUCAACUCCAGAACUGCCUUUGAUACUGAGGAUCUCGAGUCCGGGAGAGGUGAGUGGAACUCCGAGUGUAGAGGUGAAAUUCGUAGAUAUUCGGAAGAACACCGGUGGCGAAGGCGGGUCUCUGGGCCGAUACUGACGCUGAGGAGCGAAAGCGUGGGGAGCGAACAGG
This 253-nucleotide ribosomal RNA is filed under the name uncultured bacterium. Its description in RNAcentral is "partial 16S ribosomal RNA". It matches the Rfam family "Bacterial small subunit ribosomal RNA", at positions 524 to 776 of the family's 1533-position model. The record is from RNAcentral.